This 718-nucleotide long non-coding RNA is filed under the name Gossypium raimondii (Peruvian cotton). RNAcentral describes it as "long non-coding RNA (GRAI_LNC008379)". Lineage: Eukaryota; Viridiplantae; Streptophyta; Magnoliopsida; Malvales; Malvaceae. The record is from RNAcentral.
UAAUUACUGUAGAGCAUGCACCCGCUUGUGCAAGAACGAUGGGAGCUUAUUUCAGCUGGACAUUCAUGUAUUUUCCAACUUCAAUGAAGCCAAUUUAAUGAAGAACAUGCACCCGAUUGUGCAUAUAUUUUUUAGAGUUGUUUGGUGCAUUCACUUAGCUGAUUGUUCAUGCAUCCAUUGCCAAUAGUUGUGAGCUGAUUAGCUAAACAUUCAAGAGAUCAUUCAGUGCUUGUUGUUCACACUCAAAGUCUCUUCAUAACCGAGCUUUCACAUGUAAAGGGACCAUUCAGCUGGCCAUAUAAAGAUUAUCAUGAAUUCUCAUUAAGGUCGAAUGAAUGUACAAGUACAUUCAAGGAAUCUUGAAACACGUGCCAUCAUUUUUAGUGCAUGUGACCAUUCAUAUGAAGGAGCCAAAUACAUGGAUUCAUGCACUUGAUGUUUGGCCUAAUUCAAAGGAUCAUCCAUAUGCAUGAAUGGCAAGGGGAGGAGUUUUACAUUAAAAUGGAAACAUUGAAUGUGAUCAUUCAUGAAUCUACUCAAGAGUAAUGAAUUUAUCCAUCCAUACAGUUCCUAAGGGGGACGAAUUUACUCUUCAACAACCCAAAUGAUUCAUGAAUGAACAAAGAUGAAGAAUGUGACCAUUUGGUCAUAUAUUGCACCCAACUAUUCAUGUAUCUACAAUAUACAUUGUACGACCAUAAACUGAAAAAUAUAUAGG